RNAcentral lists this ribosomal RNA (693 nucleotides) under Mucor abundans. Its description in RNAcentral is "eukaryotic LSU rRNA". It matches the Rfam family "Eukaryotic large subunit ribosomal RNA", at positions 50 to 648 of the family's 3401-position model. The record is from RNAcentral. Lineage: Eukaryota; Fungi; Mucoromycota; Mucoromycetes; Mucorales; Mucoraceae.
GCGGAGGAAAAGAAAAUAACAAUGAUUUCCCUAGUAACGGCGAGUGAAGAGGAAAGAGCUCAAAGUUGGAACCUGUUUGGCUUAGCUAAACCGGAUUGUAAACUGUAGAAGUGUUUUCCAGGUACGCCAGGUAAAAAAGUCCUUUGGAACAGGGCAUCAUAGAGGGUGAGAAUCCCGUCUUUGGCCUGAGCUGUUGCCUUUUGUGAUACAUUUUCAAAGAGUCAGGUUGUUUGGGAAUGCAGCCUAAAUUGGGUGGUAAAUCUCACCUAAAGCUAAAUAUUUGCGAGAGACCGAUAGCGAACAAGUACCGUGAGGGAAAGAUGAAAAGAACUUUGAAAAGAGAGUUAAACAGUAUGUGAAAUUGUUAAAAGGGAACCGUUUGGAGCCAGAUUGGCUUGACUGUAAUCAACUUAGGCUUUGGCCUGAGUGCACUUGCGGUCUAUGCCUGCCAACGACAGUUUUGUUUGGGGGAAAAAAUUACAAGGAAUGUGGCCCCUCGGGGUGUUAUAGCCUUGUAAAAAAUACUCUGGAUGGGACUGAGGAACGCAGUGAAUGCCUUUAGGCAAGGUUGCUAGGCGCUUUCGUUAAUAAAUGCUAGAAUUUCUGCUUUGGGUGGUGCUAGUGUUUAAAGAUGGAACUCGUUUGGUAUACUUUUUAUUCGCUUAGGUUGUUGGCUUAAUGACUCUAAAUGAC